AGGAAAAGAAACUAACCAGGAUUUCCUCAGUAGCGGCGAGCGAACAGGAAAGAGCCCAGCACCGAAUCCCGCGGUUCCGCCGCAGGGAAAUGUGGUGUUCGGGAGGGUCCGAUUUAUCCCGAGUCGCCGCAUCGCGUCCAAGUCCAUCUUGAAUGGGGCCACUUACCCGCAGAGGGUGCCAGGCCCGUAGCGACCGGUGCGCGCCUCGGGUGGAUCUCUCCUUAGAGUCGGGUUGCUUGAGAGUGCAGCUCUAAGUGGGUGGUAAACUCCAUCUAAGGCUAAAUACGACCACGAGACCGAUAGCGAACAAGUACCGUGAGGGAAAGUUGAAAAGAACUUUGAAGAGGGAGUUCAAGAGUACGUGAAACCGUUCAGGGGUAAACCUAAGAAACCCAAAAGAUCGAACGGGGAGAUUCAUCGUCAGCGGCGUCGGCUUCGAGUCGGUGGGCGAUGUUCCGCGCGGUACUCCCGCGCGGGCACGCUACCGUGCGCGCAUGUCCGACGUCGUCGUCGUGCACUUCUCCCCUAGUAGAACGUCGCGACCCGCUGGGUGUCGGUCUACGGCCCGGGUGCGGUGCCUGUCGCGUCGCCGGUAAAACGGCACGCGGCAAACCCCCGGUUCUUCCCGGCCGGCUGCCCGGCGGUACUCGCACGGUAUCAGGCCGCAGGUUCAUCAAGCUCGUCGCAAGCGCGCGCCACGUUACCCGGAGGCACGGACCCAGCGCCGUCCCCGGUUCUGGCCCGCUGUUGGCCGACGGUGAUCCUUUGACAGGCCUUACACGGGGCGGCGCGCGGAGGGGCUCGUCCCUCGCCCGCGCGUCCUCCGAUACCGGUCGGCGACGCUACUGCUUUGGGUACUCUUAGGACCCGUCUUGAAACACGGACCAAGGAGUCUAACAUGUGCGCGAGUCAUUGGGACCAGCAAAACCCAAAGGCGCAAUGAAAGUGAAGAUCGGCCCUGGCGCCGAUCGAGGGAGGAUGGGCAGCGUCGCGAUGCGGCCUCGCACUCCCGGGGCGUCUCGUUCUCAUCGCGAGAGGAGGCGCACCAAGAGCGUACACGUUGGGACCCGAAAGAUGGUGAACUAUGCCUGGUCAGGACGAAGUCAGGGGAAACCCUGAUGGAGGUCCGUAGCGAUUCUGACGUGCAAAUCGAUCGUCGGAACUGGGUAUAGGGGCGAAAGACUAAUCGAACCAUC
Molecule: ribosomal RNA, 1196 nt
Filed under: Platythyrea punctata
Lineage: Eukaryota; Metazoa; Arthropoda; Insecta; Hymenoptera; Formicidae
Description: eukaryotic LSU rRNA
Rfam family: Eukaryotic large subunit ribosomal RNA
Source: RNAcentral